UACGGGGGGAGCAAGCGUUGUUCGGAUUUACUGGGCGUAAAGGGCGCGUAGGCGGCCACCGCAAGUCAGUUGUGAAAUCUCUGGGCUUAACCCAGAAAGGUCAACUGAUACUGCGGGGCUAGAGUGCAGAAGGGGCAACUGGAAUUCUCGGUGUAGCGGUGAAAUGCGUAGAUAUCGAGAGGAACACCUGCGGCGAAGGCGGGUUGCUGGGCCGACACUGACGCUGAAGCGCGAAAGCUAGGGGAGCGAACGGG
This 254-nucleotide ribosomal RNA is filed under the name uncultured bacterium. Its description in RNAcentral is "partial 16S ribosomal RNA". It matches the Rfam family "Bacterial small subunit ribosomal RNA", at positions 524 to 776 of the family's 1533-position model. The record is from RNAcentral.